Molecule: ribosomal RNA, 274 nt
Filed under: uncultured bacterium
Lineage: Bacteria
Description: partial 16S ribosomal RNA
Rfam family: Bacterial small subunit ribosomal RNA
Source: RNAcentral
AUACGGGGGGGGCGAGCGUUGUCCGGAAUUAUUGGGCGUAAAGGGCGCGUAGGCGGAAUAGUAAGUCAGAAGUGAAAAUCAUGGGCUCAACUCAUGACCUGCUUUUGAUACUGCUAUUCUCGAGUGCGAGAGAGGAAAGCGGAAUUCCCGGUGUAGCGGUGAAAUGCGUAGAUAUCGGGAAGAACACCGGUAGCGAAGGCGGCUUUCUGGCUCGCAACUGACGCUGAGGCGCGAAAGCGUGGGGAGCAAACAGGAUUAGAAACCCCAGUAGUCC